GACGAACGCUGGCGGCGUGCUUAACACAUGCAAGUCGAACGGGGUGUUUAUUUCGGUAAACACCAAGUGGCGAACGGGUGAGUAACGCGUAAGCAAUCUACCUUCAAGAUGGGGACAACACUUCGAAAGGGGUGCUAAUACCGAAUGAAUGUAAGAGUAUCGCAUGAGACACUUACUAAAGGAGGCCUCUGACAUAAGCUUCCGCUUGAAGAUGAGCUUGCGUCUGAUUAGCUAGUUGGUGAGGGUAAAGGCCCACCAAGGCGACGAUCAGUAGCCGGUCUGAGAGGAUGAACGGCCACAUUGGGACUGAGACACGGCCCAGACUCCUACGGGAGGCAGCAGUGGGGAAUCUUCCGCAAUGGGCGAAAACCUGACGGAGCAACGCCGCGUGAACGAUGAAGGUCUUAGGAUCGUAAAGUUCUGUUGUUAGGGACGAAGGGUAAGAAUCAUAAUAAGGUUUUUAUUUGACGGUACCUAACGAGGAAGCCACGGCUAACUACGUG
RNAcentral lists this ribosomal RNA (503 nucleotides) under uncultured bacterium. Its description in RNAcentral is "partial 16S ribosomal RNA". It matches the Rfam family "Bacterial small subunit ribosomal RNA", at positions 28 to 507 of the family's 1533-position model. The record is from RNAcentral.